Molecule: non-coding RNA, 26 nt
Filed under: Homo sapiens (human)
Lineage: Eukaryota; Metazoa; Chordata; Mammalia; Primates; Hominidae
Source: RNAcentral
UUGAAGCCACUUAAAGACAGAAAGGA